CCUACGGGAGGCAGCAGUGAGGAAUAUUGGACAAUGGGCGCAAGCCUGAUCCAGCCAUGCCGCGUGCAGGAUGAAGCAUCUAUGGUGUGUAAACUGCUUUUGUACGAGAAGAAACACUCCGACGUGUCGGAGCUUGACGGUAUCGUAAGAAUAAGGAUCGGCUAACUCCGUGCCAGCAGCCGCGGUAAUACGGAGGAUCCAAGCGUUAUCCGGAAUCAUUGGGUUUAAAGGGUCCGUAGGCGGGCUUAUAAGUCAGUGGUGAAAUCUCCCGGCUCAACCGGGAAAUGGCCAUUGAUACUGUAGGUCUUGAAUUAUUAGGAAGUAACUAGAAUAUGUAGUGUAGCGGUGAAAUGCUUAGAGAUUACAUGGAAUACCAAUUGCGAAGGCAGGUUACUACUAAUUGAUUGACGCUGAUGGACGAAAGCGUGAGUAGCGAACAGGAUUAGAUACCCUGGUAGUCCACGCCGUAAACGAUGGAUACUAGCUGUUGGGGGCAAACUUCAGUGGUGUAAGACGAAGUAGAGUAAGUAAGUACCACCGUCGGGUAAGGUACGGUUCGUUCGAAGAAAGUUAGAAACGUAACAAAUUAGAAGUUAGUUACGGGACGUUGAGGACGUUAGCCGAACGGACGACCGACGAGGGGAAGGUUAGGGAGG
This 656-nucleotide ribosomal RNA is filed under the name uncultured bacterium. Its description in RNAcentral is "bacterial SSU rRNA". The stretch from base 1 to 539 matches the Rfam family "Bacterial small subunit ribosomal RNA", at positions 338 to 873 of the family's 1533-position model. The record is from RNAcentral.